CUCGCGUUUUUUUCGAGGUCGGCCGCGUGGCUGGAAGUCAUGGCCGCUCCCGUCGGUGUUGAGCACGGCGAGCAGCCUCAGGCCUUUAAUGAUGAUGAGGCCUUUCUUUGUUUGGCAUCUGCAGAGACGGGGAAAAGCAGAGCGCCAGGUUGAAGGACCAGAGUAAUGGAUGGAGCCCUAACAUGAGUAAGAGUGGGUGCAGGCAGGGCCUGAGUGGUCACUAGAAAUGAGAAAGCACAGUUGGUGCCAUCACAUACAUUCACCUCCUGCUUUAUUCUGAAGUUCAAGUGUGAGAAUACGUGUUGACAUACAAGCCAGCUAUGAUUGAAGGUGUUGGCUGUGGCCUUGAAAACAGUCAUGUGAAAACUCAUCACCUUAAGAUAUUAAGUGUAAGGAUCUUCAUGAUGAAGUUUCUGUAAAUGGUGCAGUCAGCCUCAGUUUCCAAAGCCGGAAAAGGAUCUUCUAGUAGCCACGGUGUGGCAGCUGCCCUGAACCAGGACCUGGACCCCGGACCCAAAGUGCCAUGUCUUUAAUGCAUGUUAGCUCCCAGCGAUGCCAGAUGGGAUCAGCACAGCCCUGCCUCUGCUGCUAAUUGUUCUUCUUCUUUUUAUUUUUUUAUUUUUAUUUUUUUUUUUUUUUGAGACGGAGUCUCGCUCUGUCGCCCAGGCUGGAGUGCAGUGGCGCGAUCUCGGCUCACUGCAAGCUCCGCCUCCUGGGUUCACGCCAUUCUCCUGCCUCAGCCUCUCUGAGUAGCUGGGACUACAGGCGCCCGCCACCACGCCCGGCUAAUUUUUUGUAUUUUUAGUAGAGACGGGGUUUCACUGUGGUCUCGAUCUCCUGACCUCGUGAUCCACCCGCCUCGGCCUCCCAAAGUGCUGGGAUUACAAGCGUGAGCCACCGCGCCCGGCUUCUUUUUAUUUUUUUGAGACGGAGUCUCGCUCUGUCGCCCAGGCUGGAGUGCAGUGGCGCAAUCUCGGCUCACUGCAAGCUCCGCCUCUCGGGUUCACGCCAUUCUCCUGCUUCAGCCUCUCCGAGUAGCUGGGACUACAGGCGCCUGCCACCACGCCCGGCUAAUUUUUUGUGUUUUUUUUAGUAGAGAUGGGGUUUCACCGUGGUCUCGAUCUCCUGACCUCGUGAUCCGCCCGCCUCAGCCUCCCAAAGUGCGGGGAUUACAAGCGUGAGCCACCGCGCCCGGGCCCUAAUUAUUCUUCUAAAGUGAUCGCCAUGCGUUCUUCGGGCUUCACCUUUAAAGGAAUGAAGCAACUGAGAUUAUUCUGGAAAACCUUUUGGCAGUUAGUGAAAUUAGAGUACAACUAAGAACAUUUUCAGACCUCCACUGUGGAUGUUCUGGGUAUAAUCUCACAAAUCGCUGGGACUGCAAGGAUUGUAAACUGAAAUGAACAUGAUUAUACUCUGCUGGAAGCGCCUAAGAGGAAACUGAUGCCAUGAGUUUCAGAGAGUAAUGCUUAAAACCCCAGUUACACAGGAUGCCGUCUUGUGUUUUCUCUUUUUUAGUUACCCACUACAUUGAUUUUGUGAUCUGCUAAUGGGUUGCCACCCACAACCAUUGCUUUAGCACUUUUACUUCAAAUCAAUGAAGGAUUGAUAAAAGUUCUCCUGGUGUCUCCGCAGAGUGGCUUCCAGGAACAGAUCUUUGCAUCGAAUAUCAGUGAUUUCCUUUUUUGUUUCAAAUAGUGGUCAGAAAACACCCAGUGUUGACUCACCAAGGCAAUCAGCUUCCUCUCCCCCCCCCCUUUUUUUUUUACAUUUUAUGUUUUUGCUUUAUUUUAUUCUAUUUUGUUUAUUUUUUGAGACGGAGUUCCACUCUGUCGCCAGGCUGGAGUGAAGUGGUACAAUCUUGGCUCACUGCAACCUCUGCCUCCCGGGUUCAAGCAAUUCUCCUGGCUCAGCCUCCCGAAUGCUGGGACUACAGGCGCGUACCUUCUUUAGUAGAGACUGGGUUUCACCAUGUUGGCCAGGAUGGUCUCUAUCUCCUGACCUCGUGAUCUGCCCGCCUCAGCCUCCCAAAGUGCUGGGAUUACAGGCAUGAGCCAUCACACCCAGCCUUUUUUUUUUUUUUUUAAUUUAAAUUUUUUUCAUUUUUUUGAGAGAUUUUUUUUUUUUUUUUUUUUUUGAGAUAGUCUUGCUCUGUCACCCAGGCUGGGAGUGCAGUGGCAUGAUCUCUGCAACCUCUACCUCCCAGGUUCAAGCAAUUCUUGUGCCUCAGCCUCCCAAGUAACUGGGACUACAGGUGCACGCCACCACACCUGGCUAAUUUUUUAUGUUUUAGUAGAGACAGGGUUUCAACCAUGUUGCCCAGGUUGGUCUCAAACUCGUGAGCUCAGGCAAUCCACCCACCUUGGCCUCCCAAAGUGCUAGGAUUACAGGUGUGAGCCACCACACCCAGCUAGUUUUUCUUUUGUUUUUUAAUUUUAAAGUUGGGGUCUCAAUUUGUUACCCUGGCUGGUCUCGAACUCCUGGACUUAAGCGAUCCUCUGGCUCCAAGCCCACUACCAGUCUCAGGUUUCUUUACUAAAAGAUCACUUCCUUUUUUUCUCUUAUCUGCUGCCAUGUGAGACGUGGCUUUCACCUUCUGCCAUGAUUGUGAGGCCUUCCCAGCCAUGUGGAGCUGUAAGUCCAAUAAACCUCUUUUGUAAAUUAAAAAAAAAAAA
Molecule: RNA transcript, 2672 nt
Organism: Symphalangus syndactylus (siamang)
Lineage: Eukaryota; Metazoa; Chordata; Mammalia; Primates; Hylobatidae
Gene name: 5E5 antigen-like
Source: RefSeq, a predicted model, not a curated record